RNAcentral lists this ribosomal RNA (253 nucleotides) under uncultured prokaryote. RNAcentral describes it as "partial 16S ribosomal RNA". It matches the Rfam family "Bacterial small subunit ribosomal RNA", at positions 524 to 776 of the family's 1533-position model. The record is from RNAcentral.
UACAGAGGGUGCGAGCGUUGUUCGGAAUUAUUGGGCGUAAAGCGCGUGUAGGCGGCCUAGCAAGUCGGGUGUGAAAGCCCUCAGCUUAACUGAGGAAGGGCGCCCGAAACUGCCUGGCUUGAGUACCAGAGAGGAUGGCGGAAUUCCCGAAGUAGAGGUGAAAUGCGUAGAUAUCGGGAGGAACACCUGUGGCGAAAGCGGCAUACUGGACCACAACUGACGCUGAGGCGCGAAAGCUAGGGGAGCAAACAGG